ACGGGUGAGUAACACGUAGGCAACCUGCCCUCAAGCUUGGGACAACUACCGGAAACGGUAGCUAAUACCGAAUACAUGAUUUGUUCGCCUGAACGAAUCUGGAAAGACGGAGCAAUCUGUCACUUGAGGAUGGGCCUGCGGCGCAUUAGCUAGUUGGUGAGGUAACGGCUCACCAAGGCGACGAUGCGUAGCCGACCUGAGAGGGUGAUCGGCCACACUGGGACUGAGACACGGCCCAGACUCCUACGGGAGGCAGCAGUAGGGAAUCUUCCGCAAUGGACGCAAGUCUGACGGAGCAACGCCGCGUGAGUGAUGAAGGUUUUCGGAUCGUAAAGCUCUGUUGCCAGGGAAGAACGUCCGGGUUAGUAACUGAACCCGGAGUGACGGUACCUGAGAAGAAAGCCCCGGCUAACUACGUGCCAGCAGCCGCGGUAAUACGUAGGGGGCAAGCGUUGUCCGGAAUUAUUGGGCGUAAAGCGCGCGCAGGCGGCUUUUUAAGUCCGGUGUCACAGCCCAAGGCUCAACCUUGGGUCGCACUGGAAACUGGAGAGCUUGAGUACAGAAGAGGAAAGUGGAAUU
RNAcentral lists this ribosomal RNA (579 nucleotides) under uncultured bacterium. RNAcentral describes it as "bacterial SSU rRNA". It matches the Rfam family "Bacterial small subunit ribosomal RNA", at positions 102 to 668 of the family's 1533-position model. The record is from RNAcentral.